AAUGUUUUAUCUUCAUAAUGUCUUGGAUGGUUAAUAUUUCAAGGAUGAUUUUUUAAAAAAUUUUUAAAAAUUUUAAUAACUUUUCAAAUGUUUCGGCUUAUAUUUCAAAAUUUUUCAAUUUCACUGAAUACUUUCAAUUUCACAAUUAAAUUCAAAAAGUUUUAAAGAAAAUUUAGUCAAGAUUUGGAGUUUAAUUAAUCAACAUUUGAUGAUUUUCGAAGAAUGCUGAACGAUGUUUCUAAAACCCAAUGUAACUCCCAAGAAAAUGUGUGAACCCUUUAAGAUGGAGUGUUAACAUUUGACGUCGUGCCUGAGGACGGUUACACGAAGUAGCCGAAACAGUCUGUAGCACCGAUUUUAUAAAUAAAUAAAUUGUCAUCGUUCAAUGCAAA
Molecule: non-coding RNA, 392 nt
Organism: Onthophagus taurus
Lineage: Eukaryota; Metazoa; Arthropoda; Insecta; Coleoptera; Scarabaeidae
Source: RefSeq, a predicted model, not a curated record